Molecule: ribosomal RNA, 450 nt
Filed under: uncultured bacterium
Lineage: Bacteria
Description: partial 16S ribosomal RNA
Rfam family: Bacterial small subunit ribosomal RNA
Source: RNAcentral
CCUACGGGGGGCUGCAGUCGAGAAUCUUCGGCAAUGGGCACAAGCCUGACCGAGCGACGCCGCGUGCGAGAUGAAGGCCUUCGGGUUGUAAAUCGCUGUCAGAGGGGAGGAAAUGCCGGUGGGUUCUCCCAUCGGUUUGACCUAUCCUCAGAGGAAGGACGGGCUAAGUUCGUGCCAGCAGCCGCGGUAAGACGAACCGUCCAAACGACAUUCGGAAUCACUGGGCUUGAAGGGUGCGUAGGCGGUGCGGGAAAGCCCUCAGCUCAACUGAGGAAGUGCGCCCAAAACUGCCGGACUUGAGGGAGACAUAGGUGAGCGGAACUUAGGGUGGAGCGGUGAAAUGCGUUGAGAUCCUAAGGAACACCAGUAGCGAAAGCGGCUCACUGGGUCUCUUCUGACGCUGAUGCACGAAAGCUAGGGGAGCGAAGAGGAUUAGAUACCCCAGUAGUC